Molecule: transfer RNA, 74 nt
Filed under: Wolfiporia cocos MD-104 SS10
Lineage: Eukaryota; Fungi; Basidiomycota; Agaricomycetes; Polyporales; Phaeolaceae
Description: tRNA-Val (CAC) (tRNA-Val-CAC-4-1)
Rfam family: tRNA
About the family: Transfer RNA (tRNA) molecules are approximately 80 nucleotides in length. Their secondary structure includes four short double-helical elements and three loops (D, anti-codon, and T loops).
Source: RNAcentral
ACCUUGAUGGCUCAGUUGGUUAGAGCGCAGGUCUCACAAUCCUGAGGUCGCAAGUUCGAUCCUUGCUCAGGGCA